This 446-nucleotide ribosomal RNA is filed under the name uncultured bacterium. Its description in RNAcentral is "partial 16S ribosomal RNA". It matches the Rfam family "Bacterial small subunit ribosomal RNA", at positions 338 to 795 of the family's 1533-position model. The record is from RNAcentral.
CCUACGGGGAGCAGCAGUCGAGAAUUAUUCACAAUGGGGGAAACCCUGAUGGUGCGACGCCGCGUGGGGGAAUGAAGGUCUUCGGAUUGUAAACCCCUGUCAUGUGGGAGCAAAUUAAAAAGAUAGUACCACAAGAGGAAGAGACGGCUAACUCUGUGCCAGCAGCCGCGGUAAUACAGAGGUCUCAAGCGUUGUUCGGAAUCACUGGGCGUAAGGCGUGCGUAGGCUGUUUCGUAAGUCGUGUGUGAAAGGCGCGGGCUCAACCCGCGGACGGCACAUGAUACUGCGAGACUAGAGUAAUGGAGGGGGAACCGGAAUUCUCGGUGUAGCAGUGAAAUGCGUAGAUAUCGAGAGGAACACUCGUGGCGAAGGCGGGUUCCUGGACAUUAACUGACGCUGAGGCACGAAGGCCAGGGGAGCGAAAGGGAUUAGAUACCCGGGUAGUC